RNAcentral lists this transfer RNA (81 nucleotides) under Pterulicium gracile. Its description in RNAcentral is "Pterula gracilis tRNA-Phe". The record is from RNAcentral. Lineage: Eukaryota; Fungi; Basidiomycota; Agaricomycetes; Agaricales; Pterulaceae.
GCCGGAAUAGCUCAGCUGGGAGAGCAGCAGACUGAAGUAAAAGCUUUCUGAAGGUCGGGCGUUCGAUCCGCCCUUCUGGCA